GGGUUGUGAGGUUAAGCGACUAAGCGUACACGGUGGAUGCCCUGGCAGUCAGAGGCGAUGAAGGGCGUGCUAAUCUGCGAUAAGCGCCGGUAAGGUGAUAUGAACCGUUAUAACCGGCGAUACCCGAAUGGGGAAACCCAGUGUGACUCAUCACACUAUCAUUAACUGAAUCCAUAGGUUAAUGAGGCGAACCGGGGGAACUGAAACAUCUAAGUACCCCGAGGAAAAGAAAUCAACCGAGAUUCCCCCAGUAGCGGCGAGCGAACGGGGAGGAGCCCAGAGCCUGAAUCAGCAUGUGUGUUAGUGGAAGCGUCUGGAAAGGCGCGCGAUACAGGGUGACAGCCCCGUACACAAAAGCGCAUAUGCUGUGAGCUCGAUGAGUAGGGCGGGACACGUGGUAUCCUGUCUGAAUAUGGGGGGACCAUCCUCCAAGGCUAAAUACUCCUGACUGACCGAUAGUGAACCAGUACCGUGAGGGAAAGGCGAAAAGAACCCCGGCGAGGGGAGUGAAAAAGAACCUGAAACCGUGUACGUACAAGCAGUGGGAGCACAGGUUUACC
This 560-nucleotide ribosomal RNA is filed under the name Salmonella enterica subsp. enterica serovar Infantis. Its description in RNAcentral is "partial 23S ribosomal RNA". It matches the Rfam family "Bacterial large subunit ribosomal RNA", at positions 1 to 589 of the family's 2925-position model. The record is from RNAcentral. Lineage: Bacteria; Pseudomonadati; Pseudomonadota; Gammaproteobacteria; Enterobacterales; Enterobacteriaceae. RNAcentral also lists the same sequence under 1 other name.